RNAcentral lists this ribosomal RNA (406 nucleotides) under uncultured bacterium. Its description in RNAcentral is "partial 16S ribosomal RNA". It matches the Rfam family "Bacterial small subunit ribosomal RNA", at positions 30 to 526 of the family's 1533-position model. The record is from RNAcentral.
AUUGAACGCUGGCGGCAGGCCUAACACAUGCAAGUCGAGCGUGCGGCGGACGGGUAAGUCAUGUCUGGGAAACUGCCUGAUGGAGGGGGCUAACUACUGGCAACGGUAGCUAAUACCGCAUACACUCGGAUGUGCCUAGAUGGGAGUAGCUGGUAGGUUGGGUAACGGCUCACCUAGGCGACGAUCCCUAGCUGGUCUGAGAGGAUGACCAGCCACACUGGAACUGAGACCCGUUCCAGACUCCUACGGGAGGCAGCAGUGGGGAAUAGUGCACAAUGGGCGCAAGCCUGAUGCAGCCAUGCCGCGUGUGUGAAGAAGGCCUUCGGGUUGUAAAGCACGUUCAGCGGGGAGGCGUUACCCGCAGAAGAAGCACCGGCGAACUCCGUGCCAGCAGCCGCGGUAAUUC